This 394-nucleotide ribosomal RNA is filed under the name uncultured bacterium. Its description in RNAcentral is "bacterial SSU rRNA". It matches the Rfam family "Bacterial small subunit ribosomal RNA", at positions 28 to 433 of the family's 1533-position model. The record is from RNAcentral.
GAUGAACGCUGGCGGCGUGCUUAACACAUGCAAGUCAAGGGGCCCAGCAAUGGGCAACCGGCGAACGGGUGCGUAACACGUGAGCAACCUACCGAAUUGUGGGGAUAGCCGGCCCAACGGCCGGGUAAUACCGCAUACGAUCGAGACCAGGCAUUUGGACUCGAUGAAAUCUACGGAGCAAUUCGAGGGGCUCGCGGCCUAUCAGCUAGUUGGUGAGGUAACGGCUCACCAAGGCGACGACGGGUAGCUGGUCUGAGAGGAUGGCCAGCCACAUUGGGACUGAGAUACGGCCCAGACUCCUACGAGAGGCAGCAGUGGGGAAUCUUGCGCAAUGGCCUAACGGCUGACGCAGCGACGCCGCGUGAGGGAUGACGCUCUUCGGAGUGUAAACCUC